This is a long non-coding RNA of Mustela lutreola (European mink), 983 nucleotides long. RefSeq lists it as uncharacterized. The transcript is spliced from 2 exons. NCBI's taxonomy places the organism in Eukaryota, Metazoa, Chordata, Mammalia, Carnivora, Mustelidae. The record is from RefSeq and is a predicted model, not a curated record.
UGUCCUGUGGAGGCACAAAGGCACCAUGAAGAAAAGUGUCCUGAGAAAUGCUGCACACCAGCUCCAGGCACAGCACAGGGUCCUUUGCAGCUUCCCUCACCUGGAAUGCUUGCUAGGAGUCCCUCUAUGGGUGGCUGGUGGCAGCAAAUUUUAGCCCAUCUGGGAGCCUGCAGAACCCCUGAAGUCAAGGGCAAGUUCUGCAUGGUGUCUGUCCCACUGGAACUGACUUUUCUUUGAAGACAGGUAGGAUUCUCCUGUCAAAGAUUCACGUCAGCUCCCUCUGAGCCAUGAAUCACCCAUCAGUAGCCCAUGAGUAAGCAGGGGAAAUGCCCAAGAGUUAAUUUGAACACUUAGAAAACAGUGGCAUGUUUUUCAGAGUGUGUUUAUUUUUCCUCAGCAAAUCUAACUUCCUUCGUGGUUGAGGUUAAAAUAAGCCAAACCUGAUGCCAGUCCUAUUGGCUGGCGCAGACUUCAUGGUAUUGGGACUCCAGGAGGAAGAAGGCCUAGAACAUUGAUGUUGCCGGUAAGGUCUCAGGACCCUGAGGUCCCCUUUUCUCCAGCUGGAGGAAGAGGAGCUAGCCUGCAAGUGAAAAAGAAGUGAGAAGAGAGAAAAUUAGAAAUGCAGAAACCUGUGUCAGCACUCUCAGAUGAGGCCGGUGGCUGCCACGAUGACUCAAAAUCAGAAUAUGUGCUCCGGCUGCUGAAAUCUUGAAAGUCAGGAAGGUCUUGGGGAAUCUCUAGCGGAAGGAGGUUUAGUUGAGGUUCACUUCCCAGGGGACCCUGGGUCGGCAGCACAGCUUGUCCCCCGUGGGGAUUAUAGGGCCCUUUGGUUAGAAGCCACCCUUUCCCUGCUGCACUCACUCUGAGAUUUCCUCAUUUCAAAUGACCCUGAGCGGUCCUGAGAUCGAGCCCUGCAUCAGGCUCCCUGCUCAGAGGGAAGUCUGUUGCUUCCUCUCCCUCUGUGUGCUCUCUCUCUCUCUCUC